This 454-nucleotide ribosomal RNA is filed under the name uncultured Paraprevotella sp. RNAcentral's name for it is "partial 16S ribosomal RNA". It matches the Rfam family "Bacterial small subunit ribosomal RNA", at positions 341 to 792 of the family's 1533-position model. Lineage: Bacteria; Pseudomonadati; Bacteroidota; Bacteroidia; Bacteroidales; Prevotellaceae. The record is from RNAcentral.
ACGGGAGGCAGCAGUGAGGAAUAUUGGUCAAUGGGCGGAAGCCUGAACCAGCCAAGUAGCGUGAAGGAUGACGGCCCUACGGGUUGUAAACUUCUUUUGCCGGGGGAUAAAAAACGGGACGCGUCCCGUCUUGCAGGUACCCGUGCGAAUAAGGACCGGCUAAUUCCGUGCCAGCAGCCGCGGUAAUACGGAAGAUGCGAGCGUUAUCCGGAUUUAUUGGGUUUAAAGGGAGCGUAGGCGGACUGUUAGGUCUGUGGUCAAAUGUCAGGGCCCAACCUUGGCAUGCCAUGGAAACCGGCGGUCUUGAAUACACGCAAGGCAGAUGGAAUUCGUCGUGUAGCGGUGAAAUGCUUAGAUAUGACGAAGAACUCCGAUUGCGAAGGCAGUCUGCUGGAGUGCGAUUGACGCUGAGGCUCGAAAGCGCGGGUAUCAAACAGGAUUAGAUACCCUGGUA